Long non-coding RNA from Oncorhynchus nerka (sockeye salmon), 856 nucleotides. RefSeq lists it as uncharacterized. Lineage: Eukaryota; Metazoa; Chordata; Actinopteri; Salmoniformes; Salmonidae. The record is from RefSeq and is a predicted model, not a curated record. The transcript has 3 exons.
AUAUGAAGGCCCAAAUUGUGUGUUCCUUUCUGCUCUGACAAUGGCAUGCCCAUUCGUGCGAGAUGUGGUGGAUGAAGAAGCACUUGUGCUGAGGAGCGCCUUCAGGCGAGAAAGGGUCUUCAGGGACCGGUUGGACCCACUGGCCUUCCCUGAUGACCAUCUAUAUGAAAGAUACAGGUUUUCUGCAGAUGGCAUCAGGUAUCUAUGCAGACUACUGGGUCCCAGGAUUAAGCACCGCACUGCACGGAGCCAUGCACUGAGUGUGGAGCAAAUGGUUUGUGUGGCCUUGCGCUUUUUUGCUAGUGGAGCCUUCCUGUACUCAGUGGGGAUGCAGAACAGCUGAACAAGGCCACAAUUUGCCGCACAAUAAGGAGUGUGUGUCUGGCUAUCAAAGCAUUAGCAGAUGUCUUCAUCUCCUUCCCUGGCCACAGAAGACUCUGUGACAUCAAAGAGGAGUUCUAUAGGAUUGCAGAUGGUCUGCAAUGCUGACUGUGUGAUCAGCAAUGUUGUGGCAAAAUGGCCUGGCUCAGUCCAUGACUCCAGAAUCUUUCAGGCCUCUGAAAUCUAUCAGUGCCUAUCACAAGGUGAAUUCUCUGGUGUGUUGCUGGGAGACAGGGGUAUGGCUGCCAGCCUUUUCUCCUGACACCUUUCACAGACCCCCAGGAAGCACAGCAGGCCUACAACCAUGCCCAUGCCAGGACCAGGGCCAGAGUUGAAAUGACCUUUGGCCUCCUGAAGGCACGGUUUCACUGCCUUCACAAAUUAAGGGUCAGCCCUGUUAGGGCAUGUGAUAUUACUGUGGCUUGUGCUGUCCUCCACAAUGUGGCCUGCCUGAGGAAGGAGAGGGCCCCAGAGU